Molecule: transfer RNA, 73 nt
Filed under: Chitinophagaceae bacterium
Lineage: Bacteria; Pseudomonadati; Bacteroidota; Chitinophagia; Chitinophagales; Chitinophagaceae
Description: tRNA-Lys
Rfam family: tRNA
About the family: Transfer RNA (tRNA) molecules are approximately 80 nucleotides in length. Their secondary structure includes four short double-helical elements and three loops (D, anti-codon, and T loops).
Source: RNAcentral
GACUUCGUAGCUAAGUUGGUAGAGCAGCUGAUUCUUAAUCAGCGGGCUCAAGGUUCGAAUCCCUGCGAGGUCA